This is a long non-coding RNA of Nyctereutes procyonoides (raccoon dog), 655 nucleotides long. RefSeq lists it as uncharacterized. The record is from RefSeq and is a predicted model, not a curated record. The transcript has 3 exons. NCBI's taxonomy places the organism in Eukaryota, Metazoa, Chordata, Mammalia, Carnivora, Canidae.
GCGUCCUGACUCCCCAGCUGCUCCGCUCACCCUGCUUCUCCCACCCCUACCCCCCCAGCCCAGGAAGGGGGCCCCUCACAGCCGGAUGGAAAAUGUUGCAGGUGACAGGGACCGACCUUCAGAGACUUGGUCAGCUCCUCCUUUGUGGUGCCUGUUCAAGAGGCUCAGAACCUGACGUGCCAAAUACCCAAGGGUCAGCUUUCAGAAGUCUCCCUCUGCUGAGCCACGCUCCCCACUCUGACUCUAGACUAUCUGAGAGACAGACACGUGCGCACACACCUUAGCUCUCUCCAGCUCUGGCUGACUUUCUGAGCACCGUUAUAGGCUCCCUCUGUUCCCUCUGUGGCGUGUGCGCUUUGACGAAGCGAAGCGAGCUGCUGCAUCGGAGUGGCCGGCACGGCAAGGAUGUGAGGAUGGCCUCAGAUCAGUAGCCUGUGAGGAACUGAACCUUACCAACAACAACGUGAGCUUCAGGCCCCCACAUGAACCCAGAGAUAAACUGUGAGAUGAAGGGAUCCCUGGGUGGUGCAGCGGUUUAGCGACUGCCUUUGGCCCAGGGCGCGAUCCUGGAGACCCGGGAUCGAAUCCCACGUCGGGCUCCCGGUGCAUGGAGCCUGCUUCUCCCUCUGCCUGUGUCUCUGCCUCUCUCUCUCUG